AGAUCCGCUCCGUGGAGCUACCACUGUAGCUCCAGCUCUCGCGCUCUCACAUCGGCUGCUCAACGGCCGACUUCGACAUCGACUUCGGCAAACGGCAAUGACAGUGUAGCCGAGCCUCGUACUUUACAUUCUGCCGCUGCCUUAGUAGGUCAACAAAAUUCCGGACAAUGGCCUUUCGCUUUCGUCGGCGACUGCGGCGUCGGCGUCGGCAACGACGCUGGCAGCGCUGCAGCUGGCAGAGCUUCAAAAUGUAAAUAGAAGCUAUGAAGCUAAGGCAGGCGCUUGCUGGCGCCCACCCAACCACCUCCCCAUGCAGCGCCCCAUUCACCCUUCGAUUUGGCGAUGGCGUCGCGACGAUGAACAUGAAGAUAUUUCAGUCGUCGCCGCAGCUGCAGUUGUUGUUUUUGUUUCCUUCGAUGGCGUAAUAUGUACUACAUAUACGUAUUAACGGGCAUAUAGUCGAAAUUCCCCAACUUCCCCAAGUCCGUGUAACUUGAGACACUAAUAGUGCUUAUAACUAUACACAUGCAUACUGAAUGGCACACAGCAAUCCCCAGGGCACCAAGCCGUCUAAAAGUAUGCAAUGCACAAAAACGUCCUGCUGCAAGACAUUCAAGCAGUGCGCACUUUUAAGUAGCCCUUUGAAAAGCCGCUAGCAUAUUGCCACAUAGCCCACCUCGGAAGCACUUUGAGCAACCCUAGAUUUUAACACCUGUCCUUUGCUUCAAUUCCCACUGAAUUUGGUCACUCAUCGAGUUAGCCAUGAUAUUAGGAAUCAGUGUCAUUGCCUGAAACUCAGCCAGUCACAUCAGUUCGAUCCAAAACCCACAGUGUUCAGACCUCCCAGACCGCCCCCCGGAGCAAGUGAAAAAGUGAACAACACGAAACGAGAAGCACCGAGCGGAAACCCCUCAGGUUGUUGCCACAGACUCGCCACUUAUAACACGAUGCCCAGGCCGCAUGCAUAUCGUAGGGCGCGCAACAGAGGAUCUGGCGAUACCGACGUGUCCGCCAUUUCGCAAGAGAUGGACGAGAUGCCCUCACGUUUCAGCUCCACAUCACCAGAUAGCGAAGAUUCGCGCGAACAGAGCACAAGCACUGCCUCCACUGAGGAGGAUGAGAGCCCCUAUCGCCAGAGCCUUCGCCGCGAAAAAAGCAUAUUGGCCUCAUCGCCGCUGUCCAUGGAAUAGCGUUUCCAUAAGCAGAUGAACAGAACCAAGAAGAGCACGAUCACCACGAAUUUGAAAAUGUUGUUGCUUUAUCUGUGACUUGUCCUGGUGCCAGUCAUCUUGGAGAUGGGCCCGCAAAUCGAGUUCCCAGUGCAAUGGAAGAAGGGGAAAAGUGUUUUCCACAUCGUCAAGCAUCGUUGCAUGGCCUUGACCUUUACCGUCAACACUUACCGGGUGCUGAUCGGCUCCUUCCUGGCAGCUAUCGUGCCGCUGUACAGCAUGCUCUGCAUGGCGCACCCGAAUAGCUUUCUUCUCUGUGUUCCGAACGCCUAAGGCCACAUAAUUAAGGUACCCGACAACGUGGGCGUGUACUUCUUGGGCCUCUUGCCCUAUGUGCAAUCCGCCUGCAAUACGGAUUUUACGUGCUUGCCAAGGACACCUGGUUCGCCUACAACGAUCAAGUGCUGGCCACAGCCGAUACUUUCAACACCUGGCGCGUGCUCAUCUACAUGAAUCAGGUCAUCCAGCUCGUCUACUCAUUCGAGGGACUGCAGAGUUUCCUGCAGGCCCUCCGCACCUACAAGCUAGUCGCCGGAACAGACAACCAUCGCGUGUCUCAGCUGGAAGGGAACAUGUCAAAAUUCUGGUACAUCCCCAGCGUGAGCACCUUGGAUGUUUACCGUGCCUUCGAGGAACGUGCAUUUGGACCAAAUCCCCAUUAGCCACAAGCCCCCAAUCACAAGUCCUGCCAGCUGACCAAUCUGACCAACACAACCACUACGAAAUGAUCGGUGCACAAUCAAUGGAUUCUUUGGCUUGGAAAACUAAGAAAAAAAGCAAAAC
Long non-coding RNA from Drosophila simulans, 2012 nucleotides. RefSeq lists it as uncharacterized. The record is from RefSeq and is a predicted model, not a curated record. NCBI's taxonomy places the organism in Eukaryota, Metazoa, Arthropoda, Insecta, Diptera, Drosophilidae. The transcript is spliced from 4 exons.